Molecule: transfer RNA, 66 nt
Filed under: Cryptorhynchinae sp. 4 ACP-2013
Lineage: Eukaryota; Metazoa; Arthropoda; Insecta; Coleoptera; Curculionidae
Description: tRNA-His
Source: RNAcentral
UCUAAAUAGUUUAUUUAAAAUUUUAAUUUGUGGAAUUAAAGAUAUACUUUAAAGUAUUUUAGAUAA